Molecule: long non-coding RNA, 7594 nt
Organism: Anopheles stephensi (Asian malaria mosquito)
Lineage: Eukaryota; Metazoa; Arthropoda; Insecta; Diptera; Culicidae
Exons: 4
Source: RefSeq, a predicted model, not a curated record
AUCAUUACGCCAGUCCACUUUGUUUAUGCAUGCAUACGCGUAGCAGGCGGCGUCGGCAGCAGACGGUCCCUAGCAGCGCUGGUGCUGCUGUUGCUGCUACUGCUGCCGCUGCUGCAACGGGUUUUUGGCGGUGGCAGUAGCAGCACCACAGCGCAACGGCAGCAGCGGCUAACUAUAAUGUCCGUACGCUAGCUGUACGCCGCUGCACAGACCACAGCAGAAACACGGCAAGGUGUCCGUUGCUGUUGUUGAUGCUGUGGUUUUGUCCGGUAUCGCAGCAACUUCUGAAGCCGCCAAUCGUUCCGAUGGAGUUGUUCACCUCGCAACAGUUGCUAGUGAAUGCAGCAGUCACGGUGGUCAGCAGUGCCCCGAGUUCACAAAAGUCUAUCCCGGAAGGAAAAGCGAGCGUGCGGAAUUGUGUGCGUGCGUGAUAGUGUAUGUGGCAGGUCCAGUGGUCAUCCGAUGGUUCACUCAGAGGAUGCAAAAAUGGUCAACAAACCGCGUUCAACCGCGUGCGUUAGGACGUCGGUCAGUGCGUUCGUUCGAUUCGGGGUGGAAAAAGAAGAAGGUUGGCAGCAAACUUUCCGUCAGCAGUGGUCGAAGCAUGCCCACUCUAGCGGUGGUCAUAAAGAGAGAGCGCGUGUGUUUUGCUUCUCCGAAACCGUGACCGGUGUGAAAUGUGUCAGUUUUCGUUUGUUUAUUAUCCUGUGACCCUGUCAACAAGAAACGAGCGCAGUGGACAACACCGAUAUCCACCGCCGUUGAUGGAACGAGUGAUAUCGCAAGUGGCAGUUAAAGAAUUGCGAUUGCUAGCGGCUGGUGCUGGGCUGGUGUUCCAAUGGGUCGGCUGAGAGCAGAUAUCAGAAAGGAUUAGUGAUUAUGGUUUGAUUAGUGCAAUAGAGCUUAAAAUCAACAUCUAGCAUCGCCAUCGUGUGAAAUGAAUUCGUUUUGGAUUAAUUAACUGUUUUGACUUAUUUUUCUGGUGCAUCCUCGUUUUUUGAGAAACUCUCGUCCAAAUCUCUGCCACACCAUUUUUAUCAACAAACCAAGCUCCGAGCGUCAUAAUCUGCUUCAAACACAGUGCACGGAAUGAUACGGCAGGACGCACCACGAACGUUUUGAGUGCACGCUCUCGCUUCAACAGUGAUAAGCAUAAAUGUGAAUGCGAAACUCAGCUGUUCCUGUCGUCCCGGCGAAAGCUGAUACGUGAUAGUGAAUCAUCCCCAUUCAGAGCAAAUCAGUCUCGUGAACUAGUUUCGAUAUGGAUAGUGCAGCCUUCAAUGCGGACUUCAACCAUAAUUUUGUUCAUCUAUGAUAGCCCUUAGUUGAAUUUUCCUUUUGAUAAGUUCUUGAGGAGAAACCUAUGCGACGAAUCAGCAUAAACAACUCCCGGCGAGACUUUCCAACCGAUGCGAAUAGAACUAAUUGCACCGUCACACAGUGUUUUGGUCACACAACAGCACAUUUUCUAAUGUAAAACUUGUGAGAACAGCACUUUGACUGACAUUUUCGAAGAAGUCCCAAUUUUUAAGGAAUGAACGAUAUUCCGUGUUGGAAAAAUGGAAGAUAAAAUCAAUUGCAUUCAUAGCAAGCAACGGCAGUAUUAAUUUACGCUGAUGAACUAUUUUUUGACAAACAUCUACAUGAACUUGUGAUGUUGGAUAGUGUAACAACAUCUAACUGGCAUAAAUUUCCUUUGGUGGAAAUUUAUUGUCACAAACAGACGGAAAUGUGAGAGGACUAAUGAGGAUUAUGCUGCAAAGCACUACACAACAUCAACUCAACGGGAUGUAUUUAUCAAAGCCGCAUUACGGCUUCGAACGUACUGAUGACGUCAACAAACGUAGAAAUUGCUUCAACAACAACUAUGCAACAACUAAAAACUCCACUAACAAGCAAGAAGAGACCCAAAACGAACGAACACACACAAGAUUUCAUCAAACACGUCACACGAUCUCAUACGCCGCUUUAUCCUAAGCGAGGAAAAGGGUAAGCAAAACAACCCAAAUAAAAAACACUGCGUUACACCAUUUCUCCGUACGAGCACAAAACAAGUGUGCAGUACAGUGAAGGAAGAAAUUGCAUCGAAAACCCAUGACUAAAACUAUAUGCCCGACCGGCGUAAUAAUACUCGCAAAACAAGCAAAGGGAAGGGGAAGCGAAAACAAAGAGCACAGAUAAACAGAAGAAAUGCAACAAUUAAGUUCCUACUCUAACAUAAAGAAAAAAUGAAACAUGAAACAUAGAUAAAAAUAUACGUUAUAAACGAGAGUGUAAUAAUUGUACUAUUUAGGCGCAUGAAUUUAUCCCGAAAACGGACUGUUCGAUGUUUUUUUUUCGGGGAGUUAAGAAAAAGGAGAUUAAGAAAACGAAAUGUGCAAGCAUACACAGCACCGACACACACACAGUCACACAUAAACCCUUGUGAGCAGAAAAAAACAAGAAACGAAAAAAAGAGAAAGAAGCAGCGUAAAAUCAUGAACAUGCAAUAUACAUGUCGUGAUGACAAAUGUAAAGUUACAAGAGACUGAACGUUUGCCGUGUGGCACCGGUAUUUGGUUGAUGUUUGGGGAAAGUGGAAAGAUUUUCCUGCUAACCGUCACCUGCUUUUCGAAACAAAAGAAGAUGAAAACUGUCCUGUUCUAUUGCACACUUCGAGGAUGUACUGUGUUGUCGGAGUGGUUUUUCGUCAACGGAACCUACUAGCUGGUUACCGGACUGUUCGACGCUAAGAGCACUGCGACAUGCAACAGUUGGUCCUUAAAAUGUGUCAAAUUUCUUUCAACAACAGUGUAGUAAUGGAUGGCGCAAGAAAACAACCACACCGCACCGUAGCAACAAAGGCCACAUGCCGUUGCGCACGGCAAACAGAGCAGUUUGUGCACCUCGCUUGUUCUCAUCUUCAAACAAAACGAAGAUGAGACCUAUAAUUCUACUAAUGUAUCGUAUAUAGCGCUAAGAAAGUUACGCCCUAGGAAAGGUUGAGAUAUGAUCGUUUGAACGAACUAAAAGAUUACUCCACUAACCCAACACUACCCACGUGAUUUACGCGACGGAAACGUGCGUGAUUUUUGUGCGUUUGGAUAGGGCGGUAACACUGCUGCAUAAUUGUAUAAAUUGAAGGCUAAGGUGAAAGACGUGUAAGAAACGUGCUGAAAAUUAAAACAAAAGCACAAAACGACGAAUAAUCUUAACGAAAAUGCUAUACAGUGUGUGUGCGUGUGCGUGUUUGUAAUUAAAUUCAAAUCAAACUGAAUGCAGGAGAAGCAAAUUUCGCAACAGUCAGCUCGAGGACUGGAUUAUGAUUAAUGUACCAUAACUGUUUGCAACUGUUUCAUUUCCAUUAAUUGGGCUCACGAAAAGCAACCCGUUCGAUGCAAUUGUAGAAAGUUCCGUCAGGUAUUGGCUGCUCGUACACACACCAUUUGAUGCGGGCGAUUUUCGAACCAUUGCGCCUAUUUAUUUAAAAAAACUGUUUCUGUGCAAUCAACACAGUUUGGACCGGUGGCAGAACACUGAACAACCGUUCCACUGCAGAAGUUCUACUACAGGUUCAGAAAGAGAUAAGCAUUGCGAUCGUACUUAUUAUUGUAGUUGGCUUGUCUAUGUACAUGGAAAUAUUUUAUAAAAUGACAAAAAGCAACAAAAGCAACCAAAAAAACUAAAAAACAUUUUAAAAAAACCUAUGAAAAAAAAACAGAAUUACCGAGUGCAUAAAAUAGAUGGAAGUUAAACCAAAACACACACACACACACACUUACAUAUUCAUACAUAAUCACUGAAUAUAUCUAUUCCUUAAAGAUCAAACCCCCUAAACUAAAUGAUCCUUCCCAAUCGUAAACGUUAAGUGGAGGGCAGCGAUCGAGUGCGUUCGAUCGCGGCCCAACAUUACGCUAAAUGAUCAAAUGUGCAAUGUAAGAUUGGUACAGGUGUGUGUGCAAUAAUCCCAAGGGGGCAACCUUUUCCAUAGGGAAUCGAAACCGACCAAAGGAUGCUGUGUGCUUAAUAUAUGCGAGGAAGCACCGUGUCCUUUGUUCUGUUUCAAUUCAACCAAAUGAGGCUCUCCAGUUUUCGAAGCUACAAACUUCAAACCAAUCUUCUGAAGUCGACAGAAGCAUGGAUUCAAGUUUGGUUGGCAUGUUCAUCUACAGCUAUAUUGCCGCAGAGCUGAACAGAAAGUAAGAAACACAACAAAUCGUCCCAAAUCGAUUGGCAUGACAUAUUUUUUUAGAUUUAUAGAGAUGACGUGGCGAGGCGAGGCGAAGGGUGGUAAUAGUAAUAAGCGAGUGGCUAAGCGGUAGCACUAACUGAUGAAAAGUUCCUAUAAUGCAUUUCCCACAAUUCUUCGAGUCGUGUCGGGAACGAGGGGGAAUGCGACCAUUUUGCAUAAAUAUUACACUUCUGCGUGAAUAAGAAUAUUGUACCAGUACUCAUCAUAAAGCUAACACUUAUGUAUAAAAAAAGGUAAUGUUUAUUGUUUAUUGACUUAAGUUGCGACUUUUAUUAUGACGCGGCGCAUUAGUACGUUAGAGAAGCAUCAUUCAGUGCUAGUAAAAAUAGCGAUCUUUAAUCGAUGUAUGUUCGCUUCGGCUUAAUGAACUUCUACGCAACGGUCCAAACAAACACAAAGAGCAUAAGAAGAAAUUGAACUGAACUUUCACACCAAUUAACCACCAACGUGCGUGUGCGAGCCUUACCUGGCGGAACAGAACACAGUUGCAGCGAACGGUUGAAUCGUAAACAUUCCAUGGCCAACGAAAGAUAGAAUGCGUCUGUCUUUUCAAAAACAGUAAAGAACAAUCAAUCAUUGUGAAGUUGCACAGUGUAACGGACUUUUCAUUUGGUUUAGAACUUCAACACUGCACUGCAAACACUUCACCUGGUGUGUGGUUUAAUUUGAUGUAAAAACAAAAGUAUGAAUACACAGCUCCUUAUACAUAAACACACAUGAAGGGGCAUUUGUUUAGUGAGGUUGGCAGUUACGACCUACACAACCUUCCUCCUACAAGCAAAUUUGAAUGUAAAGCAUGGCAAUUGAUACUCGCGAAAACAACAAUAAUAGUUUACUAGGUUGAAUAGAGAAACAAACAAACAAACGAAACGUGCGGAAGCGUGUUUGAAUGAUGAACAUGAAGUGGGAAAGCAACAUGUAUGGCUGAAACCCGCCAAUAACUUUUAAUGAAACGUAUUUGGUUCCUAUUCGAGGAGGGGAGAGAAAAGAAGAGAGAUAAGAAGAGAGACACAUAAAACACACACACACAAAGUAAGGAAGAAAAUACACUCCAAUUCGAACAAAAAUCACAAUGCAAAACAUCAAAACAUGAUAACGAAAAAAUCAAACGGAUCCGGUUAAAUACACAAGACCAACAAAAAGCCAAAAGCAAGAGAAAACGAAAGAGAGCGAGAGAGAAAAACACACAAACACAUACACACAUAAGGGUUGAAGAAAACAUGGAAAACGGAAAGACUCGACAUAUCAUGAAACGAUUACAUUUGCCCUCGCAUUAACAAAAAGUGAAAAUAAGGAAACAUUUUUAAAACCCCAACAGCAAACGAAGCAAAGCAGAAGGUGCAAACACACAGGAAGCAAAAAUGGAUAAGGAAAAAAGAAAAGUUCUUUCAUGUGUCAAAUGUCAACCUACAUAACACACUACUAUUACUAGUAAUGCAACUAUUGCUACGAAUACUACUACUACUAAAGCUACUACUACUACUACCACUACUACCACUACUAACAACAAUCCAACAUUCCAACUCACAACGACACACCAGGCCCAGUUCGCGAAAAACCCAGUGUUACUUAGUGUACUUUCCAUUUUGUGAAACGUUGUUGGUCCGUUUUCGUUUCUCCCUUUUGCAACUUGUUGUGAUCUACUUCCUGGUUUAAGCAAACAAUCGAAAACACGCCAAUCGAAGGCCAAGAUGAAGAAGACGAAGAAAAAAUGAACAAAAACCUCUACUACAAAGUUCCUGUUCCCUUGCAUUAUGCGGUGUCCGAUCGCCAAAGGGAGGAUGAUGAUCGGUACCCGGGGGAUGAUUGUUUGUUUGUGUGUGUAUGUGUUUUCUUUUUACGUAGUUUUUUUGUUCAGGUUUAAUCCAAUCGCACUGUUCCCCUCAAUAUCCUUGUUGGACAUUGCACGGGUGAAAGCGAUCGUUUUUUAAGGUUUAGUUGAGGAAAAACGGUCUACGAAUUGUGAAGGAAAACUCUGUGUAGAAACAGUUCAAAUUUCAACCCGUUGGACACUGAAACUAGUAAAAGUGAAGUGUAGUUCCUUUCGGAAUGUUUAAUUUGAAUUGUUUCGAGUUUUCGUGUGUGUUUAAGAAAAGAGAAGGUUAGUGUUUGCCCGACAUCACCAUGUUGUGCGUUAGGUUGAAGACAGCCCAUACACUCAACAGCACAUCCAUCUUUGAAGCAUAACCAACACAAUCCACGUAUGACGACCGUAUUUGAAAACAACCCAACAAAAAAAAAAAGAUUAUAAAAAACAUUAAACACAGCUACACAACACACACACAAAUCAUACAAAAACCUAACGAAAAUGGUAAAAAGAGUUCCUACUAAUUAAGUACACUAACCAACAUUUGCACCUGCAGCGCGCAGUGUACCGUUUAAGUUACAUUUUGUUUUUUUUUUCCUUACCCUUUGUUUUGUUUUAUAUUUGUAUAAUUAAUUUUCCAUGUUUUUGGUUUGUUAUCCAUGUUUGUUUUUGUUUUUAAUGCAUUUCCUCUUAUCGUUCAAAGCAUUCGGUGACAUACUACAACGUUACGUUACUUUGCGUUAUUGCAUUUCUGUACUUUUUAUCGAUUAAAAAAUGGCAGAGCAGAGAGAGCGAAACCUACUGAUUGUAUUGUAUGUGUAAGCAUUAUUUGAUGAGUUUAGUGAGUAUGCAAAAUUGUAAAGAUAAAGUGAAAACAAAAUAUGGUGAGAAGUAACUAUUAGCUGUAGGAUCCAGGUGCAGUGCAAGCUGAUCAACCACCGUCAAGUCGGGACGUGAAUUUACCUUUUCCGAUUUGUCGCUCGCAGGGAGCGUAGAAUACACCGUUUGAAAAUGAGUUUAUGAGUUUCACGUCCACAAACACACCUAAGUCUACCGCAACACCACACAACGGACAAGCGAAGAGUAAAAUAAAACAUGAAACGACAGGCAAAGCAUAACAGUCAUACACGAAUAUCGUAAUCACGUGAAAGGGAAAAGGGUGCAAUCAAAUCACUAUGCAUUGCAUUGAUUUGUUUUCACUAUCCCACGUCCGUCUAUUCUUCCACCAUAAAUCAACUUCAGCUAAACUCAGCCGCUAACUAACGCUAGUAGCGCUCGGUAAGGAAACACAACAAAAAAAGAGAAACAACUUCACCACUAAACUUACUUCUCACUUCUAAAAGGAAGGAAGAAUGAAUGAAUCGUGAAAGCGAGGGGAUGAUAACACUCCUAACAAUUCUAGCACAAAUCAAGAUACAUGAGAUUGAUGGAAACUAAACCACACAAACGUACCGUACAGUCACACACUUGCAGCAGCAACAACAAAAAUCUACUUACAUUGUAUAAGAUAUAUUGUCAGAUGUAAAAGAAGAAAAAUAAAAUUAUUUGGUAGUCAA